AACGAACGCUGGCGGCAGGCCUAACACAUGCAAGUCGAACGGGCGUAGCAAUACGUCAGUGGCGCACGGGUGAGUAACGCGUGGGUACCUGUCUGAUGGUAGGGGAUAACCGCGGGAAACUGCGGCUAAUACCCUAUGUGUCCUUCGGGACAAAGAUUUAUCGCCAUCAGGUGGGCCCGCGUAGGAUUAGCUAGUUGGUGAGGUAACGGCUCACCAAGGCGACGAUCCUUAGCUGGUCUGAGAGGACGAUCAGCCACACUGGGACUGAGACACGGCCCAGACUCCUACGGGAGGCAGCAGUGGGGAAUAUUGGACAAUGGGGGCAACCCUGAUCCAGCCAUGCCGCGUGAGUGAUGAAGGCCUUCGGGUUGUAAAGCUCUUUUGGCGGGGACGAUGAUGACGGUACCCGCAGAAUAAGCUCCGGCUAACUUCGUGCCAGCAGCAGCCGCCG
Molecule: ribosomal RNA, 451 nt
Filed under: uncultured bacterium
Lineage: Bacteria
Description: partial 16S ribosomal RNA
Rfam family: Bacterial small subunit ribosomal RNA
Source: RNAcentral